This 611-nucleotide long non-coding RNA is filed under the name Bos taurus (domestic cattle). RNAcentral's name for it is "long non-coding RNA NONBTAT019533". The record is from RNAcentral. Lineage: Eukaryota; Metazoa; Chordata; Mammalia; Artiodactyla; Bovidae.
CAUGUAGACAUAAGUUGUCAAACAUCUUAAAACCUAUAACUUGAUUAUCAUCCCUUAUGGGAAGUCCCUGUAGCAAGUUUUUACUACCAUACUGGCUCAACAUAUUGUAAUUCAUACACUAUCAAGAUCUCUGAAAAAUCAUUGUUCAUCUCUGUGUGACUAGGAGUAUGAAAUACCCUUUCUUUUAUGGACCUUUGUCCCAUAAAUGUUAAUGCACCCAUGAAACUGAUCUGAUGUCUUUUAAUUUUAUUUUUGAAAUCUGGUACUGAAUCCCUAGAUUAUACUAUCAGGACAAUGUCAUUGAAGAACAGCUCUGGGCAAAAAUAUGAAGUAUGAAGCUUAUUUCCUUCCCAUUAGAUUUAUCUGUGCUGUCCUGAUAAACUUCCCAUGCCUAUCACAAUAACCAAAAAUAAACUUCUUAAUCAUUAAGUAGCAGAUUACUUCAGAAAGAUCUUAAAAGUUAAAAAUGUUUAAACGCCAACUAGAAUUUUAGGAAAUAUUUCUAAACCUAUUUGGCUUGGAAAGGCUGUGUUAAAAAUGAAUCUGAAGUUGCCAUUGCUAAAAGAAAUGUAGUGUUUUAGUCAAAUCUAGUACCUUGAGACAGGCAGAAG